RNAcentral lists this transfer RNA (70 nucleotides) under Dipodomys ordii (Ord's kangaroo rat). It matches the Rfam family "tRNA". Rfam says of the family: Transfer RNA (tRNA) molecules are approximately 80 nucleotides in length. Their secondary structure includes four short double-helical elements and three loops (D, anti-codon, and T loops). The record is from Rfam by way of RNAcentral. Lineage: Eukaryota; Metazoa; Chordata; Mammalia; Rodentia; Heteromyidae.
GGGAAUGUGGCUUAGUGGUAGAGUGCUUGCUUGGCAUGCAUGAAUCCCUGGGUUCGAGUCCCCUGUACCA